GCACACUAACUAUAGGGAGUGCCUGAGC
This 28-nucleotide small RNA is filed under the name Bombyx mori (domestic silkworm). Its description in RNAcentral is "ovarian small RNA-5230". Lineage: Eukaryota; Metazoa; Arthropoda; Insecta; Lepidoptera; Bombycidae. The record is from RNAcentral.